CUCCAAAGUUCCACUACCUCCCAAAAGCAUGGCAACAGGGACAAACAGGGCCCAGGCUCUGUAAGUCCUGUCAGUUCUUAAAAAGCCAAGGAAACAGAGAUGCCACUGUGGAUGUGCAGUGUACAGCCCUCCAGCUCUGCCAUCGGGGGACGUCCUUGCCAGCCGCUCAGCAGUCUCAGAUAAGCAGUUCACUUCCAGGGCGGUGCUGCUGAGCUCUGGGGGCCCGGGCUCCCAGCUCACACUCUGCAAUUAGCUCUUCCACACGGGCAGCUUCAGCCUGCGCCUCACGUGUACUUUUUAACCUUUCUUUCUUAGUCUCCACAAUCAUUUCAAAGCUUAAACCCCUGUCCACCUUUCAUCCUGUAGUGCAGAGAAGAUACAGACCGCCAGGUGCGCCUCAGGUUCUCGUCCACUUUUUAACCUGUAACCCACCCUUUCCUCCCCCUGGGUCAGAUUGAAAUCUAUGUUUUACCUAUUAAGGUCCAUGCUGUUUCUCAAAAAACAAAACAAAAACACACUUUUACCCCUGGCAUUAUAGGUAAUUAU
RNAcentral lists this long non-coding RNA (546 nucleotides) under Marmota monax (woodchuck). The record is from RNAcentral. Lineage: Eukaryota; Metazoa; Chordata; Mammalia; Rodentia; Sciuridae.